RNAcentral lists this long non-coding RNA (450 nucleotides) under Fukomys damarensis (Damara mole-rat). RNAcentral describes it as "lncRNA (ENSFDAG00000028932.1)". Lineage: Eukaryota; Metazoa; Chordata; Mammalia; Rodentia; Bathyergidae. The record is from RNAcentral.
GAAGGUCACUAGAGAGAGAAAUGUCUUCUGUGCCUCCCCAGGAAACUACAUGGUCAAGCAAGACUGUGACCCAUUCUGGCUGUGAACACCGACAGAAGAGCUGAGGAGCCCUACGCACGAUACCACAAAUAACCCCUGGGAAGUCUUAACCGACCUUGAUAUUUGAUCUGGCAUGGUAUAAUCCUGGUUCAUCCCCGAGGCAAGAUCAUCAUGAAAACUAAAUGUUUAGAAUCAAUUUAGGACACUGAGGCAGCAGUGAUAUCACCACUGAAGACACUCAUGAAAGAAGACUUCAAAAAGUGUCAGGAGUGAUGGGAAACAGCAAAGCUAGUGAUGCACAAAUUUCAGUGAUUGCUGCCACACAGACACAAUUAAAAGAUGAUCUUUGUUCUCAAGCUGUACUAGCAAAAGGAUUUUUCAGGAAAAUUUAAUCUCAUACUCAUCUUCCUG